AACGCACGAGACCUGCGGACCUGCGGAAGGAUCAUUACCGAGUUAUCCAACUCCCAACCCCUGUGAAUUAUACCUUUAAUUGUUGCUUCGGCGGGACUUCGCGCCCGCCGGGGACCCGAACCUUCUGAAUUUUUAAUAAGUAUCUUCUGAGUGGUUAAAAAAAAAUGAAUCAAAACUUUUAGCAAUGGAUCUCU
RNAcentral lists this unclassified non-coding RNA (194 nucleotides) under soil metagenome. RNAcentral's name for it is "partial contains 5.8S ribosomal RNA, internal transcribed spacer 2, and large subunit ribosomal RNA". The record is from RNAcentral.